UGGGGAAUAUUGCACAAUGGGCGCAAGCCUGAUGCAGCCAUGCUGCGUGUAUGAAGAAGGCCUUCGGGUUGUAAAGUACUUUCAGCGGGGAGGAAGGUGUUGAGGCUAAUAACCUCAGCAAUUGACGUUACCCGCAGAAGAAGCACCGGCUAACUCCGUGCCAGCAGCCGCGGUAAUACGGAGGGUGCAAGCGUUAAUCGGAAUUACUGGGCGUAAAGCGCACGCAGGCGGUCUGUCAAGUCGGAUGUGAAAUCCCCGGGCUCAACCUGGGAACUGCAUUCGAAACUGGCAGGCUAGAGUCUUGUAGAGGGGGGUAGAAUUCCAGGUGUAGCGGUGAAAUGCGUAGAGAUCUGGAGGAAUACCGGUGGCGAAGGCGGCCCCCUGGACAAAGACUGACGCUCAGGUGCGAAAGCGUGGGGAGCAAACA
Molecule: ribosomal RNA, 427 nt
Filed under: uncultured bacterium
Lineage: Bacteria
Description: partial 16S ribosomal RNA
Rfam family: Bacterial small subunit ribosomal RNA
Source: RNAcentral